Molecule: ribosomal RNA, 1372 nt
Filed under: uncultured bacterium
Lineage: Bacteria
Description: bacterial SSU rRNA
Rfam family: Bacterial small subunit ribosomal RNA
Source: RNAcentral
GAUGAACGCUGGCGGCGUGCCUAAUACAUGCAAGUCGAGCGAACGGACGAGAAGCUUGCUUCUCUGAUGUUAGCGGCGGACGGGUGAGUAACACGUGGAUAACCUACCUAUAAGACUGGGAUAACUUCGGGAAACCGGAGCUAAUACCGGAUAAUAUUUUGAACCGCAUGGUUCAAAAGUGAAAGACGGUCUUGCUGUCACUUAUAGAUGGAUCCGCGCUGCAUUAGCUAGUUGGUAAGGUAACGGCUUACCAAGGCAACGAUGCAUAGCCGACCUGAGAGGGUGAUCGGCCACACUGGAACUGAGACACGGUCCAGACUCCUACGGGAGGCAGCAGUAGGGAAUCUUCCGCAAUGGGCGAAAGCCUGACGGAGCAACGCCGCGUGAGUGAUGAAGGUCUUCGGAUCGUAAAACUCUGUUAUUAGGGAAGAACAUAUGUGUAAGUAACUGUGCACAUCUUGACGGUACCUAAUCAGAAAGCCACGGCUAACUACGUGCCAGCAGCCGCGGUAAUACGUAGGUGGCAAGCGUUAUCCGGAAUUAUUGGGCGUAAAGCGCGCGUAGGCGGUUUUUUAAGUCUGAUGUGAAAGCCCACGGCUCAACCGUGGAGGGUCAUUGGAAACUGGAAAACUUGAGUGCAGAAGAGGAAAGUGGAAUUCCAUGUGUAGCGGUGAAAUGUGCAGAGAUAUGGAGGAACACCAGUGGCGAAGGCGACUUUCUGGUCUGUAACUGACGCUGAUGUGCGAAAGCGUGGGGAUCAAACAGGAUUAGAUACCCUGGUAGUCCACGCCGUAAACGAUGAGUGCUAAGUGUUAGGGGGUUUCCGCCCCUUAGUGCUGCAGCUAACGCAUUAAGCACUCCGCCUGGGGAGUACGACCGCAAGGUUGAAACUCAAAGGAAUUGACGGGGACCCGCACAAGCGGUGGAGCAUGUGGUUUAAUUCGAAGCAACGCGAAGAACCUUACCAAAUCUUGACAUCCUUUGACAACUCUAGAGAUAGAGCUUUCCCCUUCGGGGGACAAAGUGACAGGUGGUGCAUGGUUGUCGUCAGCUCGUGUCGUGAGAUGUUGGGUUAAGUCCCGCAACGAGCGCAACCCUUAAGCUUAGUUGCCAUCAUUAAGUUGGGCACUCUAAGUUGACUGCCGGUGACAAACCGGAGGAAGGUGGGGAUGACGUCAAAUCAUCAUGCCCCUUAUGAUUUGGGCUACACACGUGCUACAAUGGACAAUACAAAGGGCAGCGAAACCGCGAGGUCAAGCAAAUCCCAUAAAGUUGUUCUCAGUUCGGAUUGUAGUCUGCAACUCGACUACAUGAAGCUGGAAUCGCUAGUAAUCGUAGAUCAGCAUGCUACGGUGAAUACGUUCCCGGGUCU